RNAcentral lists this ribosomal RNA (253 nucleotides) under uncultured bacterium. RNAcentral's name for it is "partial 16S ribosomal RNA". It matches the Rfam family "Bacterial small subunit ribosomal RNA", at positions 524 to 776 of the family's 1533-position model. The record is from RNAcentral.
GACGUAGGGGGCAAGCGUUGUCCGGAAUCAUUGGGCGUAAAGAGCGUGUAGGCGGCCCGAUAAGUCCGCUGUGAAAGUCCAGGGCUCAACCCUGGAAUGCCGGUGGAUACUGUCGGGCUCGAAUCCGGAAGAGGUGAGUGGAAUUCCUGGUGUAGCGGUGAAAUGCGCAGAUAUCAGGAGGAACACCAAUGGCGAAGGCAGCUCACUGGGACGGUAUUGACGCUGAGACGCGAAAGCGUGGGGAGCAAACAGG